AAACUAUCAAGCUGGUGGUGGCGGUAACGGUGACGGUCCGACGAGACAUUUAUACAAAAUCACAUUUCCUUAAAAAAACUAAAACUACUGAAAAAAAUUAUAGUUUGCAGGUAAUAUUUAUGUUGAUAUGAUCGUGAUAUUUUUCUACACGCCCUUCGCUUCCGGUCCCCAGCCCCUCUAUUGGGAAGAUCAAGGAUAGGCGAGAUGGCGUACCAAGGAGGAGGUAACCUGAAGUCGACCUUCAUUGAUAGAGUGAAGAUGUAUACGGUGGUGGGACCGCUUGCUAGCCACAUGGCUACCACCGAAUAAGCUUAGACCUCUUCGCAAAGGCAAAAGUACU
RNAcentral lists this long non-coding RNA (340 nucleotides) under Helianthus annuus (common sunflower). RNAcentral's name for it is "sRNA HanXRQr2_Chr04g0187861". Lineage: Eukaryota; Viridiplantae; Streptophyta; Magnoliopsida; Asterales; Asteraceae. The record is from RNAcentral.